Molecule: ribosomal RNA, 501 nt
Filed under: Escherichia coli
Lineage: Bacteria; Pseudomonadati; Pseudomonadota; Gammaproteobacteria; Enterobacterales; Enterobacteriaceae
Description: partial 23S ribosomal RNA
Rfam family: Bacterial large subunit ribosomal RNA
Source: RNAcentral
GGGUAGUUUGACUGGGGCGGUCUCCUCCUAAAGAGUAACGGAGGAGCACGAAGGUUGGCUAAUCCUGGUCGGACAUCAGGAGGUUAGUGCAAUGGCAUAAGCCAGCUUGACUGCGAGCGUGACGGCGCGAGCAGGUGCGAAAGCAGGUCAUAGUGAUCCGGUGGUUCUGAAUGGAAGGGCCAUCGCUCAACGGAUAAAAGGUACUCCGGGGAUAACAGGCUGAUACCGCCCAAGAGUUCAUAUCGACGGCGGUGUUUGGCACCUCGAUGUCGGCUCAUCACAUCCUGGGGCUGAAGUAGGUCCCAAGGGUAUGGCUGUUCGCCAUUUAAAGUGGUACGCGAGCUGGGUUUAGAACGUCGUGAGACAGUUCGGUCCCUAUCUGCCGUGGGCGCUGGAGAACUGAGGGGGGCUGCUCCUAGUACGAGAGGACCGGAGUGGACGCAUCACUGGUGUUCGGGUUGUCAUGCCAAUGGCACUGCCCGGUAGCUAAAUGCGGAAGAG